Non-coding RNA from Zootoca vivipara (common lizard), 6140 nucleotides. The record is from RefSeq and is a predicted model, not a curated record. Lineage: Eukaryota; Metazoa; Chordata; Lepidosauria; Squamata; Lacertidae.
GUUGUUUAGUCGUGUCCGACUCUUCGUGACCCCAUGGACCAUAGCACGCCAGGCACUCCUGUCUUGCACUGCCUCCCGCAGUUUGGUCAAACUCAUGUUCGUAGCUUCGAGAACACUGUCCAACCAUCUUGUCCUCUGUCGUCCCCUUCUCCUAGUGACCUCAAUCUUUCCCAACAUCAGGGUCUUUUCCAAGGAUUCUUCUCUUCUCAUGAGGUGACCAAAGUAUUGGAGCCUCAGCUUCACGAUCUGUCCUUCCAGGGAGCACUCAGGGCUGAUUUCCUUAAGAAUGGAUAGGUUUGAUCUUCUUGCAGUCCAUGGGACUCUCAAGAGUCUCCUCCAGCACCAUAAUUCAAAAGCAUCAAUUCUCCAGCGAUCAGCCUUCUUUAUGGUCCAGCUCUCACUUCCCCUUCAUCGAUCAAUGCCUUGUCGUGGCGAAGGGGCUUGAAUAACUCAGAGAAGCUAUGAGCUAUGCCAUGCAGGGCCACCCAAGAUGGACAGGUCAUAGUGGAGAGUUUUGACUAAACGUGAUCCACCUGGAGAAGGAACUGGCAAGCCACUCCAGUAUCCCUGCCAAGAAAACUCCAUGGACAAAGACAAAAACCAAAAUAGCACACUGAAAAUGUGAGUUGUGUGUAUCUGAGCAGAGUUCAAAAUGUGGCAAACUUGUUGUAUGACUAUUGACCCACAUGCUCAACUAGCAAAUAAAAAGCCCUCGGUCACUGUGCUAUGUACUUGGAGGGGGGUUGAGGCUCCACAAGUGCUUCUUGAGGAAAAACGCUUGUGGAGCAUCACCAUCGCGGGGAGCAGUGAAGGAGGUGUUUCGCAAGAGGAGGAUUGGCCACCAUGCUGGAGGCUGCUGCCCUGAGGCAACUACCCCACCUUGCCUCAUGAGUGCGCCGGCCCCAAGGAAACAAUAAGCAAACUGCGUAAUUUUGCAAUUAUGCAAAAUUCUGCGUAAUUUUGCACACCUCCUAACUUUGUAAUGCUGUUCUCUAGCCAAGUAAUGUGUACAAAAUUUCACACACUGGUGUAAACUGCACAUAAAAAUGCAUCUAUUGGUGAUAAUAACAUGCAUAAAUACAUCAUACUGAGGGAAACUGCUUUUCAAAAAAUAUGUAUGUGUAUUGUGUAUAUUGGUAGAAAUUUGCACUAUAAAAUGUUGAUGAAUUUUCAAAAGAACUUUAAAAAAAACACAGAAAACCGAUGUAGAAAUGUUUAAAACGGAACUUAAAACUGGAAAAAUGAGAAAUUGAGAGAAAACUAAGUUGACAUCUUUGCCCAUCCCUAGUGGGUAGGCACUGGAUGAGGCCCAUUCAAAAGUAACUCCACCACCUGCCCAGCAUGAAAACAACAAUCCAAGUUCCCAGUGAGGAAGAUGGUGAAUGGCUGCUGAGUGGCCCUUCUUUGCCCCCGAGGCCAUUUGCCAGUGUUUGACCUGGCCAACCACUAAUACCAGACUUAGAUGACCACAUGGCUUUCCAGGAAAGUAAUAGGGAAGUGUGCCUAAAACCCCUCUUCAAAACUUACUGUGCCAAACCGUUUGCGCCAAUUACAUGCUAACAAUAAGAUAACGACAGAGCAAUAUAUUCUUUAUUUUCACAGAUAUUCCAUUUGAUGCCUUUUCAAAGUAUUAGACUACAUUAUUUCCUUCAGAGUUGCAUAUAUUGAUUGAGAUCAUAAAUUUAUUACUGCUCAUUGUUGUGUACAGAAAAUAUAUGUAUUAAAUCUUUGUAUGAAAGACAUUUAAAUAGGCAUGCUGUAUUCAAUCUCCUUAAAUGAAGUUAUGAAAUCCCCCUGCAAAAGCAAUUAAGGACGUAGAUAGAAUUCAUUUAUUGAUAACAGCUAUAUUACUUUGAUUCUUUCGACAGUUUCACCUUUCAAAAUGAAUGUCUUCAAGUUUUCAAAGUCAAUCCAUGGACGCCUUAGAUGUUUACAACAGACUAUGGGAAAAUCUUAUCUGCACGGAAGGGCUCAAGCAGCCCUUGAGGCCAGAUGUUGCCAAAAGCUAGAAGGGAAUUUGACUCAACAAAAACAACAUAUAUUGCAUAACCUCAAAUCACCAUUUCAGCAGAAGAGUCUUCAAGAAUCUUUUUUUUUUAAUACGUCAGUGCAGUGUGAUAGUUUUAAAACGAUUACUGUUGUGUUUAGCAAACUUUUCUCCAUUAAGCAUAAGUGGAGUUUCAGCUGCUGGGUUACAUCAUCCUGAAAUUUCUAUAGCAACGCCUCUUUUUUUAAGCUGUGAAAUUAAUGACAACAACAAGAAAACCUGAGUUGGUAUUGCCAUCUUAGAAUGUGAAGGAAUGUACAUUAUCCAUCCUUUAAAAGAAACAAAACCCCUGUGCUGACUGCCAAGAAUGAAAGUAUAAUUGCCCCACAGCAUUGUGAUCAGCUUGUGAUCAAAGAGCUAGCUUGAUGCAAGAUUUCUUCGGAACUGUUUUGUGUUUAUAAUAAAUAGAGCUUAUUUCAAGCUGGAGGAUGAAUAAACAUUUUUCUGCAAAAUGACCUCUUCAAAUUGUGCGUAUGCCCUUAUCCCAGCCUGUCUGCAUGAUAUGAAAAGGAAUUAAAACAAAUGGCUUCUAGCCAUUGGCAGUGGAGUUCAUUCACCUGAAAAUCCAGAAAGCAUUUAUCGCUUUAAAGGUCACAAUAAGAAUGCCCUCAACUAAAUUUAGUUUAUUCAGAACCUUAAACAUGCAGCCAACCAGUUAUUCCUGUGAUAGCCUACCAUUAUUUCUUCCUGGAAACCUAACCAGGAAGAUAUUUUCAUUUAUAAGAAUUCCACCACUUUCCCUCUGCACUUGUGACACAUCCUUGCAAUUACUCUCUUUGUAGUAACUCUGGACAUUCCCUAAUCCCCACCUGCUACCUAAGUUACUUCACUGUUCCUUCAUAUGUUUACCAGGUUCCUCAAUUCAAAUAUGAAUGCAAAUAUGUAAAGUUACGUAUGCAGCCCUGAUAUUUAGCAAGCAGGAUUAGGGUUUCGGGCAGCUGGUUAGUUAAAUAUUGUCAGCUGACUAUGCUAUUCAUGAACGUGGUAAAAUAUACCAAGCACUCAAGAAUGUUCUCACAUAGGUAUAUGCUUCCAUUUUAAUUGCAUAAUAAGCCCUGCUCACAAGUGACUUCCCCCAUGGUUCAUUCAGAGAAUAUGUAGAUGGGAAAGGGGGAGCUACAUUCACCAGCCCUACCACCAACUCCCUUUUCAGCUCCACCCCAACCUUCAUGUAUUGAGGAGGCUGCUGAAAUCAGAGGCUUGUAAAUGUCCUGACUGUAUUACCAUAGUGGACUUCAUGUUUCCCAUACAAAGGAUCCAAGAUUCAAGCACAGCUGAGAAGGCCUGGGGCCUAGGGCUGAGCCUCACCAGACAGCACAUUGCCAGAGGAAAUCCUCCUCCCAGACAUAAAGGUGGAGAGUGGAAUGUGCUCAGGCUUGUGGAAAUUCAUCCACACACCACUAAACCAUGGUUUAAUGUUACUUAUUAAUCCAGCUACUGAGAUUAUUGAUCCUUCUUUCUCAGUGGCCUUUUAUGCUAAACAGGAUCUUGAGCCCUUGUUCCCAUCUUAAUACCUAAAAUUCUUUAAUGAGCAAUAUUGGAGGCUGAGUUAUUACCUUCAAUGCUUCCUCAGUUCACAUUUUAGGGCUGAAACAAGACCCAGAACUGAAUCUUGGUAAGCCCUGGUUUUGGUUACCUCAAGUGAACCAAGAUCUUGGAAUGUUUUUAGUGGACUUAAAAUACCACCCAAAAGUCACACCUAUCUAAAUGUUGAUAUAAAUAUAUUCAAAGCAUGUAUUUGCUACAUUAGUAAUUGAUAUUUAUUUCAAUGAGAGCAAUAUCAUCGACAGCAUCAUCUCCAGCACUUCACUUGUUAACACUAUAUCUUCAUUUAGCUGAUUUGGGGGACACAGUCCAUAGUUUUAUAUCUGCCAUUAGAAAGUACUGGUGGGAAAAGGGAAACAAUGAAGGUAGAAUUCUGAAACAAACUAUACUGAAGUAGACCAUUUACUUCAAUUGGACUCUUCAGAAUAACUGGAGCAAGUAUUGCAGCCAACACAUUGUUUUGAAAGAAAAGCUGGAAUAGCAUUCCAUUUUUAGUUCAGUUAAUGUUACCUGCAUUAUGAAGACAAUUUCAGUCAGAUUCAAUGGCCUCAUUUUGAUAUAGUGUGAAAUGUACUUCAGAUUAGAAAUAGUGGUUGCUGUAGGUUACAAGAUAUUACUUUUUUAAAAAAUGGCUCUGCCUUUUUUUAUAGAGCUUACACAAUUCUGGCAAUGCGCUGUCUUCCAAAGUAGCUGUAAUCUCACAUUAGAACUGCAGACGAGAAAGAGAGUGGUUCUGCUACAAACUGAGAAUCUUUUGGCAUUAAUUCAAUUUUAGAUCCAUGCACUGUGCAGGGAUCAAACUGUAAAAAGAAAAGCCUAUAACCACAGUCACCUUAGGGGCUGUGCUCAGCUGCCAAAUACUUCUCUUUAAUGAGAUGCAAGAGUAACCAAAACUGAUUUCUAUUUAUGGUAUUUAUAUAUUGCCCAAAUAGCAAUAUCCUUUGGGCAGUUCAGAAAUUCAUUUACCUGUAAUGAGAUGGAUAUUCAAUUCAUAUGACUUUUUAUUCUUGUUCUACAGCAUGAUCCUGUUCUAUGCCAGGAUUCUCAAAUGUGAAGCAAAUCUCUCUAGAAGACAUAAGCUAUUGGCAGGGGAUGUGCAAAUUUUUGCUGAAUUCUUCAAGCGCCUGUUUGUGGAUAUCCACAUUUUUGCAGAAGAGUUGUUAAAAGCAAACACUUCUGCUUCAGACUACUGCUUUGGGAAGUAGGAACAGCCCAGAUGUGCUGCAAGUUAUGUCUCUGCAGGCUGAAGAAGAAAAGAAUGCUGCAGUUAGCAUUCAGAAAGUUAUCUCUCCAGCAGCAACAACUUUCUGUGUGAACACUUGCAUUCUAUACAAACUGGUAGCUUGAAAGAACACCCCCAGCCAUCACACACCAGGAAAAGUUCCUGCUCACCACUAAUGAGUUGAUUCUCUUCCAAUCAUGUCUUUGAGGCUUUCAGCAGAUGUCACCUCAUGAAUACAUUGACUGCAUCAGGGGUUUGCAAGCACAACUUCUGCACAUGAAGUUUGCUUCCAGAAAAUCUAACAGUAUACAUACCAAGGUGGUGUGUGAAUAGUCAUGUUUUCCCCAUAGAGUUGUUGUAAGUGAGUGAAGCACAUUCAUGAAUAGCUGUCAUCGCAACAUAAUCUGCUCGAAAAAAAGAUGCAUUGUAUAGAGAAAAUAUUUCUCUAUAACAUUUUGUUGGGUUGUAUACAGUUAAGUUCUAUACAGUAUAGGUCCAUUAAUUUCAGUGAGCAAUUUCCAGCUGCUUAGCUCCACCUGCUUGCCUCAGAGGAAAUUCAGUGGGUUCUGCUGCCUAAUAUGUUCGGGUUUUGCUAAAUUAGUAGCAUGAGAAACCAUCAGAUUGCUUCUUCACACAAUCAACUCUAGGACAAGCAAUUAACACUGGGCAGAAAGCCAAGGUCUACUUCUGCCAUAGUAACUGCGCUCUCAUUGGUUGAGUUCAGCACUGAGACCUGUUAUCAGAGAAAGCUAGCACAGUACGUGUGGGCGGUGAGUGUGGUCAGUGUAGGAGGAGAGGUGCUGUAUCGGUUGAGAGAGAGACAGAGAGGAAAGGAUUUAUUUUACUUUGUUUUUGAGUUCUAAAGUUGUACAUAGAAACUCUUGAUUUUCUUUUAUUUUAAUAAAUCCUGUAUAUAGUUUACUCUGCGUCCAGACGUCUAGUCAUUUAAGUUACCGCCAGAAGCUUCCGGAAAAACCUGCGCAAACUCUGCUGUGUUCAGGCUGAAGUUACACCUGACACUUAAAAACACUAAGAUAAUAGGCAGAGGUCAAAGCUCAGCACCAGAGAAGACCAAGGGGGAGGGCUCAACCUGCCAAAUGAAUCAUCCUGGCACGAUGAUAUUUCUGUUACAAGCCUGAAUGUAAUUUUUAGGCUGAAAAUCCCUUGUAAUCUGCUUUGAGAACCUGUCAGAGCCAUAUAGCAUAAACAUCCUAAAUAAGUAAAUAAUCAAACUUAUAAGUUUGCAGUAUCUGGUGUCUGAUUUUCUUAUGAUGUAGAUUGCAACAUAUACAUCUAGAUGUGAACAAUAGUAUAUUAUGAAUGAUA